This 508-nucleotide ribosomal RNA is filed under the name uncultured bacterium. RNAcentral describes it as "partial 16S ribosomal RNA". It matches the Rfam family "Bacterial small subunit ribosomal RNA", at positions 30 to 523 of the family's 1533-position model. The record is from RNAcentral.
AUUGAACGCUGGCGGCAUGCCUUACACAUGCAAGUCGAACGGCAGCGGGGGAGAAGCUUGCUUUUCCUGCCGGCGAGUGGCGAACGGGUGAGUAAUACAUCGGAACGUGCCCUGUAGUGGGGGAUAACUAGUCGAAAGAUUAGCUAAUACCGCAUACGACCUGAGGGUGAAAGUGGGGGACCGCAAGGCCUCAUGCUAUAGGAGCGGCCGAUGUCUGAUUAGCUAGUUGGUGGGGUAAAGGUCUACCAAGGCGACGAUCAGUAGCUGGUCUGAGAGGACGAUCAGCCAAACUGGGACUGAGACACGGCCCAGACUCCUACGGGAGGCAGCAGUGGGGAAUUUUGGACAAUGGGCGAAAGCAUGAUCCAGCAAUGCCGCGUGUGUGAAGAAGGCCUUCGGGUUGUAAAGCACUUUUGUCCGGAAAGAAAUGGCUCUGGUUAAUACCUGGGGUCGAUGACGGUACCGGAAGAAUAAGGACCGGCUAACUACGUGCCAGCCGCCGCGGUAA